Molecule: long non-coding RNA, 399 nt
Filed under: Zostera marina
Lineage: Eukaryota; Viridiplantae; Streptophyta; Magnoliopsida; Alismatales; Zosteraceae
Description: long non-coding RNA (ZMAR_LNC003933)
Source: RNAcentral
GACAACUAUAGUUGAUAUAUUGAGGAGAUUUGGGAGAUUCUAAUAAUUAAGGAACAAUCAAUGCAUACAUGGAUUAGAAGAAGGAUUUAGAUAUUUUAUCACAAAAACAAGAACAAUGGUCUCAUCCAUUACAGGAACGAUGGUCUCACCCAUUUCAGAUCAUUGGGUUUGAACCAAUUAAGAAACACAAUUUGAUGAUGUACAAUUGUACAUUCAAGGUUCGACGCACUUAAAUAUUUCCCUUUAUAUAUAUCAUGUUGACACUGUUAAUAUAUGGGAAGAAAUGAAGUUCAAAAAUUUUUAUUUUUUAUUUUUUAAGGCUUUACCCUUAAUUUAAGGGAGCCCUUCCAGAAAUUAUAUCAUAUUCUUAAUCUUUCAAGGAACUAAAGAAGUCCUUCC